AUUGAACGCUGGCGGCAGGCCUAACACAUGCAAGUCGAGCGGAUGAAGGGGGCUUGCUCCUGGAUUCAGCGGCGGACGGGUGAGUAAUGCCUAGGAAUCUGCCUGGUAGUGGGGGAUAACGUCCGGAAACGGGCGCUAAUACCGCAUACGUCCUGUGGGAGAAAGUGGUGGAUCUUCGGACCUCACGCUAUCCGAUGAGCCUAGGUCGGAUUAGCUAGUUGGUGUGGUAAAGGCCUACCAAGGCGACGAUCCGUAACUGGUCUGAGAGGAUGAUCAGUCACACUGGAACUGAGACACGGUCCAGACUCCUACGGGAGGCAGCAGUGGGGAAUAUUGGACAAUGGGCGAAAGCCUGAUCCAGCCAUGCCGCGUGUGUGAAGAAGGUCUUCGGAUUGUAAAGCACUUUAAGUUGGGAGGAAGGGCAGUAAGUUAAUACCUUGCUGUUUUGACGUUACCAACAGAAUAAGCACCGGCUAACUUCGUG
This 484-nucleotide ribosomal RNA is filed under the name uncultured bacterium. RNAcentral's name for it is "partial 16S ribosomal RNA". It matches the Rfam family "Bacterial small subunit ribosomal RNA", at positions 30 to 507 of the family's 1533-position model. The record is from RNAcentral.